Molecule: ribosomal RNA, 1203 nt
Filed under: uncultured Halomonas sp.
Lineage: Bacteria; Pseudomonadati; Pseudomonadota; Gammaproteobacteria; Oceanospirillales; Halomonadaceae
Description: bacterial SSU rRNA
Rfam family: Bacterial small subunit ribosomal RNA
Source: RNAcentral
GCAUACGUCCUACGGGAGAAAGGGGGCUUUGGCUCCCGCUAUUGGAUGAGCCUAUGUCGGAUUAGCUAGUUGGUGAGGUAAUGGCUCACCAAGGCAACGAUCCGUAGCUGGUCUGAGAGGAUGAUCAGCCACAUCGGGACUGAGACACGGCCCGAACUCCUACGGGAGGCAGCAGUGGGGAAUAUUGGACAAUGGGGGCAACCCUGAUCCAGCCAUGCCGCGUGUGUGAAGAAGGCCCUCGGGUUGUAAAGCACUUUCAGCGAGGAAGAACGCCUAGCGGUUAAUACCCGCUAGGAAAGACAUCACUCGCAGAAGAAGCACCGGCUAACUCCGUGCCAGCAGCCGCGGUAAUACGGAGGGUGCAAGCGUUAAUCGGAAUUACUGGGCGUAAAGCGCGCGUAGGUGGCUUGAUAAGCCGGUUGUGAAAGCCCCGGGCUCAACCUGGGAACGGCAUCCGGAACUGUCAGGCUAGAGUGCAGGAGAGGAAGGUAGAAUUCCCGGUGUAGCGGUGAAAUGCGUAGAGAUCGGGAGGAAUACCAGUGGCGAAGGCGGCCUUCUGGACUGACACUGACACUGAGGUGCGAAAGCGUGGGUAGCAAACAGGAUUAGAUACCCUGGUAGUCCACGCCGUAAACGAUGUCGACCAGCCGUUGGGUGCCUAGCGCACUUUGUGGCGAAGUUAACGCGAUAAGUCGACCGCCUGGGGAGUACGGCCGCAAGGUUAAAACUCAAAUGAAUUGACGGGGGCCCGCACAAGCGGUGGAGCAUGUGGUUUAAUUCGAUGCAACGCGAAGAACCUUACCUACCCUUGACAUCCUGCGAACCCGGAAGAGAUUCCGGGGUGCCUUCGGGAACGCAGAGACAGGUGCUGCAUGGCUGUCGUCAGCUCGUGUUGUGAAAUGUUGGGUUAAGUCCCGUAACGAGCGCAACCCUUGUCCUUAUUUGCCAGCGAGUAAUGUCGGGAACUCUAAGGAGACUGCCGGUGACAAACCGGGGGAAGGUGGGGACGACGUCAGGUCAUCAUGGCCCUUACGGGUAGGGCUACACACGUGCUACAAUGGCCGGUACAAAGGGCUGCGAGCUCGCGAGAGUCAGCGAAUCCCUUAAAGCCGGUCUCAGUCCGGAUCGGAGUCUGCAACUCGACUCCGUGAAGUCGGAAUCGCUAGUAAUCGUGAAUCAGAAUGUCACGGUGAAUACGUUCCC